Molecule: non-coding RNA, 676 nt
Organism: Phascolarctos cinereus (koala)
Lineage: Eukaryota; Metazoa; Chordata; Mammalia; Diprotodontia; Phascolarctidae
Source: RefSeq, a predicted model, not a curated record
CCAUGAAGGAACUUCAGUGGCCAGCUUCUGGCCAAAUAUAACUCAUCUCUGAGGGCAGUCUAAUUGGUUAUUGAGGCAGAACUGAAGACUCAUGGGACCAUUUAAAAGAAGAUAAUUUCUCACUGGUGUUUUCUUGGCCACGGCUUUCCUGGUGACAAGAUGUAAUUCCAUGACCUUGUGAGUUUUGAGAAAUCUGGCUGUUUGCAAGUGAUGGUGGCAGUUAUCAGAGCAGUUGGGGUUGUAGGAGCAGGCUGACAACAAGGGAAGCUUCGGCAUGAGAAAGUGGACAUCACCAGAGGGGAUGCCAAGUAUGGUCUAUUUUGCCUGAAGACCUGUACUGGGAAUCGUUUAAUCUUUUAAAAUGCCACCUACAUAAACUAAGACUCUGAAGAUGGAUGACUCAUUUCAGAAAGCAACAGACUACGGAAGAUCGUCAAGGGAGACCUUUAAAUCCUUGUUUAUUAGGUUAUGGAAUUCUCUGUGGAUUGGUGUUUUAGAAGUCUGAGGAAAGCCAAAGACUGAAAAGCCACUGUGGAGAUUGAACAUGGGGAAAUAUUUUCUGAUCUAUAUAUAAAGAGUUCUAUCGUCCCUACAUGCAGCAAGAACAGGCACCUAAAAUUACAAGUAAAGUACAAUACUAAAGGUAAUAACAUCAUCAAAAGAUCCUUAAAGUUCA